AUUGAACGCUGGCGACAUGCCUUACACAUGCAAGUCGAACGGCAGCACGGGUGCUUGCACCUGGUGGCGAGUGGCGAACGGGUGAGUAAUACAUCGGAACAUGUCCUGUAGUGGGGGAUAGCCCGGCGAAAGCCGGAUUAAUACCGCAUACGAACUACGGAUGAAAGCGGGGGACCUUCGGGUCUCGCGCUUUAGGGUUGGCCGAUGGCGGAUUAGCUAGUUGGUGGGGUAAAGGCCUACCAAGGCGACGAUCAGUAGCUGGUCUGAGAGGACGACCAGGCACACUGGGACUGAGACACGGCCCAGACUCCUACGGGAGGCAGCAGUGGGGAAUUUUGGACAAUGGGCGAAAGCCUGAUCCAGCAAUGCCGCGUGUGUGAAGAAGGCCUUCGGGUUGUAAAGCACUUUUGUCCGGAAAGAAAUCCUUGGCCCUAAUACGGUCGGGGGAUGACGGUACCGGAAGAAUAAGCACCGGCUAACUACGUG
This 486-nucleotide ribosomal RNA is filed under the name uncultured bacterium. Its description in RNAcentral is "partial 16S ribosomal RNA". It matches the Rfam family "Bacterial small subunit ribosomal RNA", at positions 30 to 507 of the family's 1533-position model. The record is from RNAcentral.